GGUAUUGAAAUAAGAUUUUAAAUGAGUGCUAAGAGAAUGAUUAAACAAUUAAAAGCUUUCUUUAAUUAAAUAAUUAAAUUUAAUUUUUUUAGUGCAAAAGCAAAAAUAAAAUUUAGGGACAAGAAGACCCUAUGAAUUUUUAUUGUUAAUAAUUAAAAUUUAAAUUAUUAAUAAUUUUAUUGGGGCGAUAAAAAAAGAAUAAGUAUCUUUUUAGUUAUAAAAUAAGUUCCGUUUUUAGCGAUUAAAUGAAAUAAAUACUCUAGGGAUAACAGCGUAAUAAUUUUGGAUAGUUCAUAUAGAUAAAAUAGUUUGCGACCUCGAUGUUGGAUUAGGAUUCUUUUUUGGUGAAGAA
RNAcentral lists this ribosomal RNA (352 nucleotides) under Ixodes scapularis (black-legged tick). RNAcentral's name for it is "partial 16S ribosomal RNA". The record is from RNAcentral. Lineage: Eukaryota; Metazoa; Arthropoda; Arachnida; Ixodida; Ixodidae.